Molecule: ribosomal RNA, 299 nt
Filed under: Apocephalus indeptus
Lineage: Eukaryota; Metazoa; Arthropoda; Insecta; Diptera; Phoridae
Description: partial 28S ribosomal RNA
Rfam family: Eukaryotic large subunit ribosomal RNA
Source: RNAcentral
UGGCGCUGUGGGAUGAACCAAACGCAAUGUUACGGUGCCAAAAUUUACAACUCAUGCAGAUACCAUGAAAGGCGUUGCUUGCUUAAAACAGCAGGACGGUGGACAUGGAAGUCGUAAUCCGCUAAGGAGUGUGUAACAACUCACCUGCCGAAGCAACUAGCCCUUAAAAUGGAUGGCGCUUAAGUUGUAUACCUAUACAUUGCCGCUAAUGUAGAUGAUUUAUAUAUAAUUUUGGUUAUAUAUAAAUUUUGAAACAUUAGUGAGUAGGAGGGUACAAUGGUGUGCCUANAAGUGUUUGG